CCCUUGGGGGGCGGCCCCGGGGGAUAUUUUGCCCAAGGGGGGAAGCCGAACCCGAGCCGCGCCGCGUGAGGAGAAGGCCUUGUGGGUUUAAAAUCUUUUUCAUGGAGGAGAAGUGUCUUAGUAAUAAGCGGCUAAGUGACGUCCAAGAACCACC
RNAcentral lists this ribosomal RNA (154 nucleotides) under bacterium. RNAcentral describes it as "partial 16S ribosomal RNA". The record is from RNAcentral.